AAGCUACUGAUUAUCUCCACAGACUACAGUUCCAGACACAUUAUUUAAAUGGAAUGCUUUUUUGAACUAGUUGAUAAAAGAUCCCAAUUUCCCCCUGUUGUGGUAAAAGAUGUUCUAAGCCUUUAGAGAGACAGGGAAACAUUACACAACAGGAAAACUUUACUGUGUUCAAUACAUUACAGAUUUAUCUUACGGUGACAGUAGCAUUCUAUAGCUCCAGAAAACAUUGUCUGGUAACAAAAGGAUGUUCCUCAGUGUCUCUGAGACUAAGCCUCUUGAAAAAAACACUUGAGUUAAGAAACCAGCUCUUACCCUUUUGUUGACACUCACAUACCCUUAAGAAGAGUAGCUGAACACUGAGCUAAGAAAGGGCGUUUGUUCUGCCAUAAAAAGCAAGGUGCAUGGUGCAAAAGUGCUUUGACAAUCAAUUAUUAAGAAUCCAGAGAUGACAACUCCUAUACACAUAUGUAAGUCAAUAACCUUUGAGCAGUUAAUCCCCAGGGAUCACAGCAGACAGUGGCAGAAAGGAUCAAGGUCAGUGAUAAUGAUGUCAAAGUGAUGGUGAAGACCAAAUACAAUCUAGUCUAUCCCUAAGAAAAGAAAGCUUGCAGUGACUUUGU
RNAcentral lists this long non-coding RNA (620 nucleotides) under Cyanistes caeruleus (blue tit). RNAcentral describes it as "lncRNA (ENSCCEG00000019330.1)". Lineage: Eukaryota; Metazoa; Chordata; Aves; Passeriformes; Paridae. The record is from RNAcentral.